GCGCGAGUGGCGGAAUUGGUAGACGCGCUAGAUUUAGGUUCUAGUGCCUUCGGGCGUAGGGGUUCAAGUCCCCUCUUGCGCA
Molecule: transfer RNA, 82 nt
Filed under: Gleimia hominis
Lineage: Bacteria; Bacillati; Actinomycetota; Actinomycetes; Actinomycetales; Actinomycetaceae
Description: tRNA-Leu
Rfam family: tRNA
About the family: Transfer RNA (tRNA) molecules are approximately 80 nucleotides in length. Their secondary structure includes four short double-helical elements and three loops (D, anti-codon, and T loops). Further hydrogen bonds mediate the characteristic L-shaped molecular structure. tRNAs have two regions of fundamental functional importance: the anti-codon, which is responsible for specific mRNA codon recognition, and the 3' end, to which the tRNAs corresponding amino acid is attached (by aminoacyl-tRNA synthetases). tRNAs cope with the degeneracy of the genetic code in two manners: having more than one tRNA (with a specific anti-codon) for a particular amino acid; and 'wobble' base-pairing, i.e. permitting non-standard base-pairing at the 3rd anti-codon position.
Source: RNAcentral